Molecule: unclassified non-coding RNA, 323 nt
Filed under: Hevea brasiliensis (rubber tree)
Lineage: Eukaryota; Viridiplantae; Streptophyta; Magnoliopsida; Malpighiales; Euphorbiaceae
Source: RNAcentral
GCCACGGCGGUGGAGGUGGUGAAUUUUGUUUCUUUGUCACCAAUUUGUAGACCAGGAUAAAACGGGUAUUUCACAUCAAUAGUUUAUUAAUUAACUUUCAGCUUAAGACUUCUCCCGUUGCUUGCAGCGUUCUUGUUACUGAAAAACCAGAGAGAAAUGAGAGUUUUUUUAGGAAGAGUAAAAGGAGGGAGAAAGUGACAACGUCAACUGAGAGUGAGCUCAUCUGACCCAGACCAAGAGAUUGUUGCAUUUUGGUGUAAGAAAGGAAGGUAAAGCUCCCAAUUCCUUUUUAUUCCUUUCAGAGUUAAGGUUUCAUACAUGGG